RNAcentral lists this transfer RNA (77 nucleotides) under Clostridium sp. Its description in RNAcentral is "tRNA-Gly". The stretch from base 7 to 70 matches the Rfam family "tRNA". From Rfam's summary of the family: Transfer RNA (tRNA) molecules are approximately 80 nucleotides in length. The record is from RNAcentral. Lineage: Bacteria; Bacillati; Bacillota; Clostridia; Eubacteriales; Clostridiaceae.
GCGUGAGGUAUCGUAUAUCGGUAAUACUCCAGCCUUCCAAGCUGGAAAGGUGGGUUCGAUUCCCACUACCCGCUCCA